AUUUAAAUAGCUUAUUUUAGAGCAUAAUAUUGAAGAUAUUAAGGAAAUUAAUUAUAAUUUUUAAGUA
RNAcentral lists this transfer RNA (67 nucleotides) under Pterostichus niger. RNAcentral's name for it is "tRNA-Phe". Lineage: Eukaryota; Metazoa; Arthropoda; Insecta; Coleoptera; Carabidae. The record is from RNAcentral.